Acanthopagrus latus (yellowfin seabream) is the source of this 834-nucleotide long non-coding RNA. RefSeq lists it as uncharacterized. Lineage: Eukaryota; Metazoa; Chordata; Actinopteri; Spariformes; Sparidae. The transcript has 2 exons. The record is from RefSeq and is a predicted model, not a curated record.
AGGCGGCUGGCGAGCUCUUCUCUUCCUGCCGAGGUGCAAUUCUUUCUUUUGGUUCAACAGUUCAGAGUUGUGAAACGGUCGCUUCAUGCUGGUGCUGGCAGGCCGGCCGGCGGGUUCACCGCUGGUUAACGACUGCAGAGGAAACCUGCAGACUCUGCAAACAUUAACGACGGACAUGUUUAUGCAGUUGGAAGCUGUCAAAUAUGGGAGAGCUGCACUUAAAGAAACCCAGAAACUUUGAAGCCUGUUUCCACAGAGCCGAGGGGAGGAGGAGCCGCCGAGGUGAGGAUGUUGGUUUUGGCAGCGGAGAGAACAGAAUCGGUGCAGAGAGAAGAGCAGAAGAGCUGCUGUUGCUAACGGAGCUAACUGGGCAGUAGCAGGGUCGCGUUUCUAAAUGAAGCGGUAUCAGAUCGGUGCAGAGACGAUGACACCGAUAACGUUGUAGCACACUAUUGCAGUAUCGUCUGCACAUCCAGUACUGGUGUCAGAACAACUAAUACUUUGACAUGCAGCCAGAGGAGCCUGGGACUCGAACCAGCAACCUUCGGACUGUUGGACAACCUGCUGUAGUUCCCGAGCUGUGAGAGUAACGUCUCUUUUUCAACUGAGAAAAUGGCGACGGAGCUCAAACAGUUGAGUUUGAUUAAUAAAUAGCAUGAAAAUGACAUCAGGCCGGAUGAGAAAGGAAACAAGAUGGCAGUGCGGUGAGCAGAAAAACUGCACGAGCUCUAAAUAUGAGCGAACAUGUAUUCAUGCAGAAAUAGAUCACACAUGAGAUGUACAGCAGUCAGACAGGAUGUGGUUUACAAAAUAAAAGCCACGAUCAUAAAGACA